GAUAAACGCUGGCGGCGUGCCUAAUACAUGCAAGUCGAGCGAACGGACGAGAAGCUUGCUUCUCUGAUGUUAGCGGCGGACGGGUGAGUAACACGUGGAUAACCUACCUAUAAGACUGGGAUAACUUCGGGAAACCGGAGCUAAUACCGGAUAAUAUUUUGAACCGCAUGGUUCAAAAGUGAAAGACGGUCUUGCUGUCACUUAUAGAUGGAUCCGCGCUGCAUUAGCUAGUUGGUAAGGUAACGGCUUACCAAGGCAACGAUGCAUAGCCGACCUGAGAGGGUGAUCGGCCACACUGGAACUGAGACACGGUCCAGACUCCUACGGGAGGCAGCAGUAGGGAAUCUUCCGCAAUGGGCGAAAGCCUGACGGAGCAACGCCGCGUGAGUGAUGAAGGUCUUCGGAUCGUAAAACUCUGUUAUUAGGGAAGAACAUAUGUGUAAGUAACUGUGCACAUCUUGACGGUACCUAAUCAGGAAGCCACGGCUAACUACGUGCCAGCAGCCGCGGUAAUACGUAGGUGGCAAGCGUUAUCCGGAAUUAUUGGGCGUAAAGCGCGCGUAGGCGGUUUUUUAAGUCUGAUGUGAAAGCCCACGGCUCAACCGUGGAGGGUCAUUGGAAACUGGAAAACUUGAGUGCAGAAGAGGAAAGUGGAAUUCCAUGUGUAGCGGUGAAAUGCGCAGAGAUAUGGAGGAACACCAGUGGCGAAGGCGACUUUCUGGUCUGUAACUGACGCUGAUGUGCGAAAGCGUGGGGAUCAAACAGGAUUAGAUACCCUGGUAGUCCACGCCGUAAACGAUGAGUGCUAAGUGUUAGGGGGUUUCCGCCCCUUAGUGCUGCAGCUAACGCAUUAAGCACUCCGCCUGGGGAGUACGACCGCAAGGUUGAAACUCAAAGGAAUUGACGGGGACCCGCACAAGCGGUGGAGCAUGUGGUUUAAUUCGAAGCAACGCGAAGAACCUUACCAAAUCUUGACAUCCUUUGACAACUCUAGAGAUAGAGCCUUCCCCUUCGGGGGACAAAGUGACAGGUGGUGCAUGGUUGUCGUCAGCUCGUGUCGUGAGAUGUUGGGUUAAGUCCCGCAACGAGCGCAACCCUUAAGCUUAGUUGCCAUCAUUAAGUUGGGCACUCUAAGUUGACUGCCGGUGACAAACCGGAGGAAGGUGGGGAUGACGUCAAAUCAUCAUGCCCCUUAUGAUUUGGGCUACACACGUGCUACAAUGGACAAUACAAAGGGCAGCGAAACCGCGAGGUCAAGCAAAUCCCAUAAAGUUGUUCUCAGUUCGGAUUGUAGUCUGCAACUCGACUACAUGAAGCUGGAAUCGCUAGUAAUCGUAGAUCAGCAUGCUACGGUGAAUACGUUCCCGGGUCU
Molecule: ribosomal RNA, 1372 nt
Filed under: uncultured bacterium
Lineage: Bacteria
Description: bacterial SSU rRNA
Rfam family: Bacterial small subunit ribosomal RNA
Source: RNAcentral